This 253-nucleotide ribosomal RNA is filed under the name uncultured bacterium. RNAcentral's name for it is "partial 16S ribosomal RNA". It matches the Rfam family "Bacterial small subunit ribosomal RNA", at positions 524 to 776 of the family's 1533-position model. The record is from RNAcentral.
UACGUAGGGUGCGAGCGUUAAUCGGAAUUACUGGGCGUAAAGCGCGCGUAGGCGGUUUUUCAAGUCGGAUGUGAAAUCCCCAGGCUCAACCUGGGAACUGCAUUCGAGACUGGAUUACUAGAGUAUGGGAGAGGGAAGUGGAAUUUCCGGUGUAGCGGUGAAAUGCGUAGAUAUCGGAAGGAACAUCAGUGGCGAAAGCGACUUCCUGGACCAAUACUGACGCUCAUGUGCGAAAGCGUGGGGAGCAAACAGG